Molecule: ribosomal RNA, 575 nt
Filed under: Salinivibrio proteolyticus
Lineage: Bacteria; Pseudomonadati; Pseudomonadota; Gammaproteobacteria; Vibrionales; Vibrionaceae
Description: bacterial SSU rRNA
Rfam family: Bacterial small subunit ribosomal RNA
Source: RNAcentral
UUACUGGACGUCGAGCGGCGGACGGGUGAGUAACGGCUGGGAACCUGCCCUGACGAGGGGGAUAACCGUUGGAAACGACGGCUAAUACCGCAUAAUGUCUACGGACCAAAGGUGGCCUCUACAUGUAAGCUAUCGCGUUGGGAUGGGCCCAGUUAGGAUUAGCUAGUUGGUAAGGUAACGGCUUACCAAGGCGACGAUCCUUAGCUGGUUUGAGAGGAUGAUCAGCCACACUGGGACUGAGACACGGCCCAGACUCCUACGGGAGGCAGCAGUGGGGAAUAUUGCACAAUGGGGGAGACCCUGAUGCAGCCAUGCCGCGUGUGUGAAGAAGGCCUUCGGGUUGUAAAGCACUUUCAGCAGUGAGGAAGGUAGUGUACUUAAUACGUGCAUUGCUUGACGUUAGCUGCAGAAGAAGCACCGGCUAACUCCGUGCCAGCAGCCGCGGUAAUACGGAGGGUGCGAGCGUUAAUCGGAAUUACUGGGCGUAAAGCGCAUGCAGGCGGUUUGUUAAGUCAGAUGUGAAAGCCCGGGGCUCAACCUCGGAACCGCAUUUGAAACUGGCAGGCUAGAGUCUU